This 388-nucleotide long non-coding RNA is filed under the name Bos taurus (domestic cattle). RNAcentral's name for it is "long non-coding RNA NONBTAT002751". The record is from RNAcentral. Lineage: Eukaryota; Metazoa; Chordata; Mammalia; Artiodactyla; Bovidae.
GUUCCCCACAUUGUUCUCCCUGCCAAGGUGAACAGUCGACUAAGAGGAGCUGAAUAAGGAUAACUCCGUUAACAGACCACAUACCCUGUUGGCUUGCAGGAUGCUGGAUAUUUCAACACUGUUAACAUGUCUGUUUUUUCCUUCAUGAAUGGCUUUCUCAGAAGCUUGCUGUUUGCACAAAAAUCUGAAAUAAAAAUCGAAUCUGGUCACAAGGGCAAAAGACGUUAACAAGAGAUACAGCCGUCCGGAGCCUUUGUCAUUUUAUAUAACUGUAUAUAUACUUGUCUUUUAUAAAGAUAGCUUCCCUAUUUUUAUUUCACCAAUAGAAAUCCAUCUCAAAAAAUAAUCUCCCAAGCUCAUUAAAAAUAAUAUUAGUUGUUCGAGCUUU